AAAUUGAAGAGUUUGAUCAUGGCUCAGAUUGAACGCUGGCGGCAGGCCUAACACAUGCAAGUCGAGCGGUAGCACAGAGAGCUUGCUCUCGGGUGACGAGCGGCGGACGGGUGAGUAAUGUCUGGGAAACUGCCUGAUGGAGGGGGAUAACUACUGGAAACGGUAGCUAAUACCGCAUAAUGUCGCAAGACCAAAGUGGGGGACCUUCGGGCCUCAUGCCAUCAGAUGUGCCCAGAUGGGAUUAGCUAGUAGGUGGGGUAAUGGCUCACCUAGGCGACGAUCCCUAGCUGGUCUGAGAGGAUGACCAGCCACACUGGAACUGAGACACGGUCCAGACUCCUACGGGAGGCAGCAGUGGGGAAUAUUGCACAAUGGGCGCAAGCCUGAUGCAGCCAUGCCGCGUGUGUGAAGAAGGCCUUCGGGUUGUAAAGCACUUUCAGCGGGGAGGAAGGCGGUGAGGUUAAUAACCUCAUCGAUUGACGUUACCCGCAGAAGAAGCACCGGCUAACUCCGUGCCAGCAGCCGCGGUAAUACGGAGGGUGCAAGCGUUAAUCGGAAUUACUGGGCGUAAAGCGCACGCAGGCGGUCUGUCAAGUCGGAUGUGAAAUCCCCGGGCUCAACCUGGGAACUGCAUUCGAAACUGGCAGGCUAGAGUCUUGUAGAGGGGGGUAGAAUUCCAGGUGUAGCGGUGAAAUGCGUAGAGAUCUGGAGGAAUACCGGUGGCGAAGGCGGCCCCCUGGACAAAGACUGACGCUCAGGUGCGAAAGCGUGGGGAGCAAACAGGAUUAGAUACCCUGGUAGUCCACGCCGUAAACGAUGUCGAUUUGGAGGUUGUGCCCUUGAGGCGUGGCUUCCGGAGCUAACGCGUUAAAUCGACCGCCUGGGGAGUACGGCCGCAAGGUUAAAACUCAAAUGAAUUGACGGGGGCCCGCACAAGCGGUGGAGCAUGUGGUUUAAUUCGAUGCAACGCGAAGAACCUUACCUGGUCUUGACAUCCACAGAACUUUCCAGAGAUGGAUUGGUGCCUUCGGGAACUGUGAGACAGGUGCUGCAUGGCUGUCGUCAGCUCGUGUUGUGAAAUGUUGGGUUAAGUCCCGCAACGAGCGCAACCCUUAUCCUUUGUUGCCAGCGGUUCGGCCGGGAACUCAAAGGAGACUGCCAGUGAUAAACUGGAGGAAGGUGGGGAUGACGUCAAGUCAUCAUGGCCCUUACGACCAGGGCUACACACGUGCUACAAUGGCAUAUACAAAGAGAAGCGACCUCGCGAGAGCAAGCGGACCUCAUAAAGUAUGUCGUAGUCCGGAUUGGAGUCUGCAACUCGACUCCAUGAAGUCGGAAUCGCUAGUAAUCGUAGAUCAGAAUGCUACGGUGAAUACGUUCCCGGGCCUUGUACACACCGCCCGUCACACCAUGGGAGUGGGUUGCAAAAGAAGUAGGUAGCUUAACCUUCGGGAGGGCGCUUACCACUUUGUGAUUCAUGACUGGGGUGAAGUCGUAACAAGGUAACCGUAGGGGAACCUGCGGUUGGAUCACCUCCUUA
This 1540-nucleotide ribosomal RNA is filed under the name Klebsiella pneumoniae. RNAcentral describes it as "bacterial SSU rRNA". It matches the Rfam family "Bacterial small subunit ribosomal RNA". The record is from RNAcentral. RNAcentral also lists the same sequence under 1 other name. Lineage: Bacteria; Pseudomonadati; Pseudomonadota; Gammaproteobacteria; Enterobacterales; Enterobacteriaceae.